This is a long non-coding RNA of Polypterus senegalus (gray bichir), 848 nucleotides long. RefSeq lists it as uncharacterized. The transcript is spliced from 4 exons. NCBI's taxonomy places the organism in Eukaryota, Metazoa, Chordata, Cladistia, Polypteriformes, Polypteridae. The record is from RefSeq and is a predicted model, not a curated record.
ACGCUGUGAGCGCAUAGCAUGUCAGCUGGGAGCGCAGAACGGGGAACCCUCCCGUUUUGUUUAGAGGCAGCCUCAACGGAGUAGUCUCUUCAAUACAAUCCAGUCAUCCUUGCUAGUUGGUGAGCCUAUGGUGCUUUGAAAAAUAAACUGCUUGUCCAGAAGACUUCAGUUGAGAGACUCGAGGGUUCUGUUUCUAAUAUAGAUGUGAGUGUAACACUGGAGCACUACAAGCAGGCAAAUGAGUGUCAGCCAAUGAAACCUUUUGGAGGCCUCACACCACUUUCAUCAUGUGGAAGAGUGCACAUUAUAACACACUUUGCCACUCUCUGGCACCAAGCUCCUGGGCAAAAUCAGUAGAAGCAAGGUCACAGCAACAGCACCCCACAAAUGACUACAUCCGUCGGCAUCUGCCUUAACACCUAGGGCAAGACUCCCACAUCCUGCUGCUUCCAUCAGCAUCUGCAGGACUUCAUGGAGCACAUGAUUGCUCCUGCUCCCAGCUGUCCACGUCUGGAUUGCAUCACACUCAGCUCUUUCACAGGGAUUCCCCUGACUGCUUUGCUGCUUUUUCACUGCAUUGGCUCUCAAAUGAUUUUUCACUCACCACCUCAACCUUACUUCCUCCAUACCUUUCAUUUCUCUGUCCUCCUUUCUUUUCUGCACAGGUUUCUCUUAUGCAUCUCGGUAUGUAGGUGCGCAUGCACUAAUUACAGACUCCAUGGCCGCUUGCUAAUGAGGCAAUUGAUUGAACUAUGUGCAUCUGAACAUGAAUGUACACUCAACUGUUAACACCAAUUUGCACUUUGCAAUUAACCUUAAAAGGUAAUCGUCUACACUGGUUUGUUUUU